GAAAUGCGAUAAGUAAUGUGAAUUGCAGAAUUCAGUGAAUCAUCGAAUCUCUGAACGCACCUUGCGCUCCUUGGUAUUCCUUGGAGCAUGCCUGUUUGAGUAUCAUGAAAUCUUCAAAGUAAAUCUUUUGUUAACUCAAUUGGUUUCUACUUUGGUAUUGGAGGUCUUUGCAGCUUCACACCUGCUCCUCUUUGUUCAUUAGCUGGAUCUCAGUGUUAUGCUUGGUUCCACUCGGCGUGAUAAGUUAUCUAUCGCUGAGGACACUGUAAAAGGUGGCCAAGGUAAAUGCGGAUGAACCGCUUCUAAUAGUCCAUUGACUUGGACAAUACUUUUAUGAUCUGAUCUCAAAUCAGGUAGGACUACCCGCUGAACUUAAGC
RNAcentral lists this unclassified non-coding RNA (378 nucleotides) under plant metagenome. RNAcentral describes it as "partial contains 5.8S ribosomal RNA, internal transcribed spacer 2, and large subunit ribosomal RNA". The stretch from base 1 to 105 matches the Rfam family "5.8S ribosomal RNA", at positions 50 to 154 of the family's 154-position model. The record is from RNAcentral.